AUGAACCCUUCCUCGGCUCCCGGCCCGGAUGGCCUCCCAGUGAAGUUCUUCCAGACCUUCUGGGAGGUGAUCAAACCUGAGGUGAUGGCCGAUGAGUUCCUGGUUGGGUCCAUUAACCUCGCCCGACUAAACUAUGGGGUAAUCACUCUCAUCCCUAAAGUGACGGGAGCUUCAGACAUCCAUCAAUUUCGACUGAUUACGGUGAUUAAUGUCAUCUUCCGCAUCCUCGCGAAGGGGUACGCCAUUAGGGUGGCUCCUAUUGCCGACCAGAUCACUCACCCUAACCAGUCGGCCUUCAUCCAGGGCCGCUAUUUCCUUGAUGGAGUCUUGGUGUUCCACGAAGCUCUCCAUGAGGUGCACGCCAAACACCUAAAGGCAGUUUCCUGAAACUGGAUAUCCAAAAGGCCUAUGACACGGUCAGCUAGACCUUCCUUCGGGAAUGUCUGCUCCGGAAGGGCUUCGACGAUAGGUGGGUGA
Molecule: ribosomal RNA, 477 nt
Filed under: Triticum aestivum (bread wheat)
Lineage: Eukaryota; Viridiplantae; Streptophyta; Magnoliopsida; Poales; Poaceae
Description: partial small subunit ribosomal RNA
Source: RNAcentral